This 285-nucleotide long non-coding RNA is filed under the name Vigna radiata. RNAcentral describes it as "long non-coding RNA (VRAD_LNC014288)". Lineage: Eukaryota; Viridiplantae; Streptophyta; Magnoliopsida; Fabales; Fabaceae. The record is from RNAcentral.
GACGAUCAAUUGUUUUUGCUUCUGUUCUUAACGCGUUAUUAAUUGCUAGGGGAGGCUAGGGAUAACAAGCCAGUAAUUAGUAAUAGGCUCUUUUUGCCGAGGGAUUGGGUUAAGGGUAGGCCAAGAAAGUUUGCAUGACAAUUAGAUAACAAAGCAAAUUAAACAAGAGGAGUAGAUAAGAGAGAGUGGAUAAGAUGAAAUUGCAAACCCCCAACAACUCCAUUCAUCCAUAGUUUUUUUCUUGUCAAAUUAAUCAAACGCAUUGCAUGUUUAUUUUGUGCUCUU